GACGAACGCUGGCGGCGUGCUUAACACAUGCAAGUCGAACGGAAAGGCCCUGCUUGCAGGGUGCUCGAGUGGCGAACGGGUGAGUAACACGUGGGUGAUCUGCCCCUUACUUUGGGAUAAGCCUGGGAAACUGGGUCUAAUACUGGAUAGGACCAUGCUGUAGGUGGUGUGGUGGAAAGAUUAGUUUCGGUAAGGGAUGAGCUCGCGGCCUAUCAGCUUGUUGGUGGGGUAAUGGCCUACCAAGGCGUCGACGGGUAGCCGGCCUGAGAGGGUGGACGGCCACAUUAGGACUGAGAUACGGCCCAGACGCCUACGAGAGGCAGCAGUGGGGAAUAUUGCACAAUGGGCGGAAGCCUGAUGCAGCGACGCCGCGGGGGGGAUGACGGCCGUCGGGUUGUAGACUCCUUUCAGCCAUGACGAAGCCCUUGUGGUGACGGUAGUGGUAGAAGAAGCACCGGCUAACUACGUG
RNAcentral lists this ribosomal RNA (469 nucleotides) under uncultured bacterium. RNAcentral describes it as "partial 16S ribosomal RNA". It matches the Rfam family "Bacterial small subunit ribosomal RNA", at positions 28 to 507 of the family's 1533-position model. The record is from RNAcentral.